RNAcentral lists this ribosomal RNA (400 nucleotides) under uncultured bacterium. Its description in RNAcentral is "bacterial SSU rRNA". It matches the Rfam family "Bacterial small subunit ribosomal RNA", at positions 356 to 773 of the family's 1533-position model. The record is from RNAcentral.
GGGGAGUAUUGGACAAUGGGGGCAACCCUGAUCCAGCAAUGCCGCGUGGGUGAUGAAGGCCUUCGGGUUGUAAAGCCCUUUCGGCGGGGACGAUGAUGACGGUACCCGCAGAAGAAGCCCCGGCUAACUUCGUGCCAGCAGCCGCGGUAAUACGAAGGGGGCUAGCGUUGUUCGGAAUGACUGGGCGUAAAGGGCGCGUAGGCGGCGAUUUUAGUCAGGCGUGAAAGCCCUGGGCUCAACCUAGGAACUGCGUUUGAUACUGGAUCGCUUGAGUGUGGGAGAGGAUGGUGGAAUUCCCAGUGUAGAGGUGAAAUUCGUAGAUAUUGGGAAGAACACCGGUGGCGAAGGCGGCCAUCUGGACCACUACUGACGCUGAGGCGCGAAAGCGUGGGGAGCAAAC